This 468-nucleotide ribosomal RNA is filed under the name uncultured bacterium. RNAcentral describes it as "partial 16S ribosomal RNA". It matches the Rfam family "Bacterial small subunit ribosomal RNA", at positions 28 to 507 of the family's 1533-position model. The record is from RNAcentral.
GACGAACGCUGGCGGCGUGCUUAACACAUGCAAGUCGAACGGAAAGUCCCUGCUUUUUUGGGGUGCUCUAGUGGCGAACGGGUGAGUUACACUUGAGUACCCUGCCCUUCACUUUGGUAUAACUUCAUGAAACUUGGUCUCUUCCCGCCUAGGAUCUCCUGCUUCUUGGUGGGGCUUGGAUGGUUUCGGCGGUUGGGGAUGUACUGGCCGCCUAUCGGCUUGUUGGGGGGGUAGGGGCUUACCAAGGCUUUGCAGGGUAGCCGUCCUGAGAGGGUGCACGGCCACAUUGGGACUGAGAUACGGCACAGACUCGUACGGGAGGCAGCAGUGGGGAAUAUUGCACAAUGGGCGGAAGCCUAAUGCAGCCAAGCCGCGUGCGGGAUGACGGCCUUCGGGUUGGAAACUGAUUUCGCCUGAGACGAGGCGUGAGUGACGGUAAUGGGUAAAGAAGCACCGGCUAACUACGUG